GACGAACGCUGGCGGCGUGCUUAACACAUGCAAGUCGAACGGAAAGGCCCUGCUUUUGUUGGGUGCUCGAGUGGCGAACGGGUGAGUAACACGUGAGUAACCUGCCCUUGACUUUGGGAUAACUUCAGGAAACUGGGGCUAAUACCGGAUAGGAGCUCCUGCUGCAGGGUGGGGGUUGGAAAGGUUCGGCGGUUGGGGAUGGACUCGCGGCUUAUCAGCUCGUUGGUGGGGUAGUGGCUUACCAAGGCUUUGACGGGUAGCCGGCCUGAGAGGGUGACCGGCCCCAUUGGGACUGCGAUACGGCCCAGCAUCCUACGGGAGGCAGCAGUGGGGAAUAUUGCACAACGGGCGGGAGCCUGAUGCAGCGGCGCCGCGUGCGGGAUGACGGCCUUCGGGUUGUGAACCGCUUUCGCCUGUGACGAAGCGUGAGUGACGGUAAUGGGUAAAGAAGCACCGGCUAACUACGUG
RNAcentral lists this ribosomal RNA (468 nucleotides) under uncultured bacterium. RNAcentral describes it as "partial 16S ribosomal RNA". It matches the Rfam family "Bacterial small subunit ribosomal RNA", at positions 28 to 507 of the family's 1533-position model. The record is from RNAcentral.